This 475-nucleotide long non-coding RNA is filed under the name Felis catus (domestic cat). RNAcentral describes it as "lncRNA (ENSFCAG00000040848.2)". The record is from RNAcentral. Lineage: Eukaryota; Metazoa; Chordata; Mammalia; Carnivora; Felidae.
UUUGGAAAUCUCCUCAGGUAUUUCUAAGGUACAACUGGACUUGAGAACCUGGGCUAGAAGGAAGAAGGAAGAAAUCACAGUCUGAAAUUAUGCCUAGUUCUUCAUAUUUAUGUUUUUCCACAGGUCCCCCAGAGCCUCAGAAAACUGAGGGCAGCCCGUGUCAAGGGAACUCAGUGAUGGUGAUUCAUGGUUCCUGACUCCUUCCUAAACUGCUUUCUGGAUUCUCUUUGUCCACAGUCUUUCCUAGGUUAAUUCAGCUAAUUGGGAUGCUUCUCAGGGUCAAAGCUUGAACAUCAGCAGCACAAAAUGUCUCUCAAUAGCUCCUAAGGUAAUUGGGGACAGUCUCUACAACUACUUGAACUACUUAUUUCUUUCUCCUGCUCACUCCUCUUUCUGCUUUACUGUUUCCUCAUUUUCCCCCUGUUUUCCUCUGCAGCCCGAAGUCCAAAGCUUUUCUGAUUCCUGGAAGUUUUGA